Molecule: ribosomal RNA, 251 nt
Filed under: uncultured prokaryote
Description: partial 16S rRNA
Rfam family: Bacterial small subunit ribosomal RNA
Source: RNAcentral
ACGUAGGAGGCAAACGUUAUCCGGAUUUACUGGGCGUAAAGCGCGUGUAGGUGGUUCUGUAAGUAGGGCGUGAAAGCUCCCGGCUCAACUGGGAGAGGCCGUUCUAAACUACAGAACUAGAGGAUGGUAGAGGGAGGUGGAAUUCCAGGUGUAGCGGUGGAAUGCGUAGAUAUCUGACGGAACCCCAGUGGCGAAAGCGGCAUCCUGGACAAUUACUGACACUCAGACGCGAAAGCUAGUGUAGCAAACGG